RNAcentral lists this ribosomal RNA (501 nucleotides) under uncultured bacterium. RNAcentral's name for it is "partial 16S ribosomal RNA". It matches the Rfam family "Bacterial small subunit ribosomal RNA", at positions 30 to 523 of the family's 1533-position model. The record is from RNAcentral.
AUUGAACGCUGGCGGCAGGCUUAACACAUGCAAGUCGAGCGGGGGAAGGUAGCUUGCUACCGGACCUAGCGGCGGACGGGUGAGUAAUGCUUAGGAAUCUGCCUAUUAGUGGGGGACAACAUCUCGAAAGGGAUGCUAAUACCGCAUACGUCCUACGGGAGAAAGCAGGGGAUCUUCGGACCUUGCGCUAAUAGAUGAGCCUAAGUCGGAUUAGCUAGUUGGUGGGGUAAAGGCCUACCAAGGCGACGAUCUGUAGCGGGUCUGAGGGGAUGAUCCACCACACUGGGACGGAGACACGGCCCAGACUGCUACGGGAGGCAGCAGUGGGGAAUAUUGGACAAUGGGGGGAACCCUGAUCCAGCCAUGCCGCGUGUGUGAAGAAGGCCUUAUGGUUGUAAAGCACUUUAAGCGAGGAGGAGGCUACUUUAGUUAAUACCUAGAGAUAGUGGACGUUACUCGCAGAAUAAGCACCGGCUAACUCUGUGCCAGCCGCCGCCGUAA